Molecule: long non-coding RNA, 491 nt
Filed under: Homo sapiens (human)
Lineage: Eukaryota; Metazoa; Chordata; Mammalia; Primates; Hominidae
Description: non-protein coding LINGO1-AS1:7
Source: RNAcentral
AUGGACAUGGCACCCACAUUGGCACCCUCUGGUCUUGUCCCCACAGGACACCCCUCUGUCAUGGUGAUCAAGACGGCUAGGGGGCAGGGAAGGCGAGAAGAGGGAGGAGACACUGGUGUGACUCAUAGCAAAGUAAGAGCUUCUUCCCUCCUCUCUGCACCCCAAAUACGGCUGCAUUAGAACUAAGCAAGCUAUUGAUACCACACUGACCUAAAAAUAACAAAUGGCGAAGUCAGUGGCCUAGGAGGCUGGAGAAUCUUAACACCAGGUGGCCCAGGGCAUACCCAGAGCUUCUGGCAACCGAAAUCUGGAAAAAGUGGUAACAGUUCCAUCUGGUCAAAUGACAAAAGCCUAAAUUUGUAUCAAGUAGUGGCUGAUAACAGUCAAUUUCUACCUAGAAGGCACUACGUUGGAUCUAGGUGUUCAGGGUUCUUUAAGUCAUGCUCUGAAUGAAUAAGCAAUGAUUCCAAAGUAUGUGAAGCUAGCCUCAC